ACCCCUCUCCGCACCGAGGACUGGCGCCCCCCUUCCUCUCCGCGGGAGCCGGCUGGGGCGCCCCGCCUGACCCCCCCCCCCCCGGGGGUCUGCAUGGAGCGCUGAGGUGCACGUCCUGGCCCUCGUCUGCUCCCCCCACCCCCCAGACCCUGCCUCGGAAGUGGGGGAGCCUAGGGGGGUGAGAGCUCAGCCGGCCUCGGGGCAACACCCAUAAAGACCAGCGUCCUUAUGCACCCAGGGGUUGAGAGCCCCAACUCUGGAGCCUGUCCGCCUGGGUCUCCAUAUCCGCCAUUCACCGCGGUGUGAUCUUCAGAUUCCAGUUUCCUCAUCUGUAACAGAGAUGUAAGGCUUGCAUGACAACCUAGGUAAAGCCCUUAAACGGGGCCGCCCCUGGUAAGCACCAUUUGAGUAUGAGUUCAUAAUUGGUGACACUAUUUGCUGGGCUCUUGUUCUGUACCAGGCAGGGUGCUAAGCCUUGAGCAGAAGUCGGCUUGGUUAACCCUCUCAAGCAGAAGUUCAGUCAUCCCCCCAUUGUAUGGAUGAGGAGGUUGAGGCACAGAGAAACUAAGUCGCAUGGCCAGCGUCAUCCCGGGAAGUGACGGAGCCUGGAUUCCAACUAAGGCACAGGCUCUCGGCCUCUGUACAGCCCGAAUCACCCUGAGACCCAGGGGGACCUCUGAUUUGGGAGAAGGGAAGACAACAGAAGGAUUUAUCCAGACACAGUGCUUGAACCAGAAGCUUCUGCCUGGAACCCCAUCCCCACCUCCCUCUUCCAGUCCUUCCCCUUCCUGCCUCCACUAUUCUGAGAUAGCAAGUCAUAACCAAGGGCAACCACAGAGUGCUCCUGAAGUCUCAGAAGGCUUAGUGAGACGCCAUCCCUGCCUGGCUGGAUCCAAAAAACAUGUAAGUGUAAUAAUCUUUGUCUUAGCGAACCAAAUACAUGGAAAUUGUAUUAUUACAAAAUUUCUAUUUGGAGGUGGUAAUGUACUUGGCCAACUACGUCUUCAUUUUAGCAACAACAACAUUACUUUGAUGUAAUAAAGUGCUUUGCAGGCUACAAAGUACAUCCACAAAAUUAAAAUUUUAUUCCACGAGUCUCUCAACAGCCCUGUAGGCUAGCUGGGGCAAAAAUUAUUAAACCCAUUUUUCUUAUAAGGAAACUGAGUUCAGAGAUUUGCUGCAUGUUAAUUUGCAAACCUUGCCUAUGUUCGAUUUAAAAUGUGCCUUAAUACACAAGAAUCUCACUGAUACUUAACUUUUCUGGAGUAUCUCACAUGCAUAAAGGAAACAGGUAUAGAGCAUACUCCCUCAGCAUAAAAGACUGGCAUGAUUUUUACGUGAGAUAUUUAUGUAAAAUUACAUGAAUAAAGCAAGCUUGCAGCACA
This 1385-nucleotide long non-coding RNA is filed under the name Canis lupus dingo (dingo). RNAcentral's name for it is "lncRNA (ENSCAFG00020001588.1)". Lineage: Eukaryota; Metazoa; Chordata; Mammalia; Carnivora; Canidae. The record is from RNAcentral.